RNAcentral lists this long non-coding RNA (1336 nucleotides) under Homo sapiens (human). RNAcentral describes it as "HSALNT0004663". The record is from RNAcentral. Lineage: Eukaryota; Metazoa; Chordata; Mammalia; Primates; Hominidae.
UGGCAAUGAGCUGAAUGAAGACAUUCUUAUCGGAGGCCCCAAACUUUCAACUCAUCAUAGCCCAGCUUCUCAUUUCUCAUCCCUGUUUCUGUGAUCAAUUCAUAGCCCACGUCUCUGUCCUCACUGACAUACUUCUCAUCCAGUAACUGGACACCGAAAGCCAGAGAAGUCGGGUAUUCAGAUUCCAAAUCAUUGUGCUGAGGCAAUCCUGCCUUCGGCUGAAGAAAUAGGGAGCGGGGACAAUGCGUCAGGACGGCCUCUUUUUACUCAGCGUGAGCUUUGUUACUCACCCGAGGUGUUCUACCUUGAAUCAUGGCUUUUGUGAGGAAAACCAGGAUCAUGCAGAAGGAUGAAGUGCUAUUUCCUCAGUGGCACCUUCAGUGCUACUGACACUUUCAAGAAUAUGCGUGUCUAUGCAGCAGAAACAGACACCCUGAGAUGCUGGAUUUGAGAUAAUUCACUGAGUUUUAUCAACAUAUGUGAACACACAGAUUUUCAGCUAAUAUUAGAAGUUGAGAUGAGACUGAUUAACGUGACUCCUAGGCAGGCCUCAUCAUAUCUCCUAAAAGAAGUGCAAGCAUCCUAUUUGAAUACAUACCCUGGCCCUCCUCCUUUUUCCCUUGAGUUCCCUCUUGAGGUUAAUAAAACUUGAUGUAUGAGAUGACGUUGAGUGUCCCAGGCCCAAAGAAGUUCAGGAUGAGUACAAACAUGUGCAUACCGUGGUUAGAAGAUAAGAUUGCUUGGAGUUCUUUGCUUCAUUCUGACCACGUGCAGAUCAGCAUAGAUGGUGAGUGAGGAAAAGCUCUUCCUGUGGACACUUCUGAAUAAGUUCUAAUAACUUGACUAAAAUUUAUUCCAGAAAUAAAAUAUUCAGAGUGCUCAAUUAGAAAUAAAAAACUGGGCUCUGGCUUGAGAUGGUGUUGGUGGGUGAGGAUUCAGCAUUGCAGGUAGACUAUGGGACUGAGGGAUCAAGAUCAGGCAUUCCCAUGAGGAGAUACCAAAGUCAAGCCCAGUCAAGAGCUGUCAAUUCAAAGUCCAGGGGGAAACCAAGGUCAAGGACUAUGCACUACAGUCAGCAUCAAUGCCAGCACACAACAGAGAGUAAAGCAAGCGGAGAGCCUUCGGCUGGAAGUAUCUAAAGGCCAGAUGACUGGUGUAAUUUUCAGAAUUUUUUUGGCUGAAAAUUACAGAAAAUCCAACCCAAAAUGACUUAAUCAGGAAGAAAUUUGGUAGAUUACAAAACUGAAAAGUUCAGGGGGUUGGAUUAUUUCCAGGUAUGGUUUGAUACAGAGAUUGAACAAUGUCAGCAGAACCCAGUUUUCUCUGUCUCUUUCAG